Molecule: transfer RNA, 65 nt
Filed under: Dipodomys ordii (Ord's kangaroo rat)
Lineage: Eukaryota; Metazoa; Chordata; Mammalia; Rodentia; Heteromyidae
Rfam family: tRNA
About the family: Transfer RNA (tRNA) molecules are approximately 80 nucleotides in length. Their secondary structure includes four short double-helical elements and three loops (D, anti-codon, and T loops).
Source: Rfam by way of RNAcentral
GGUGGCUCAAUGGUAGAGCGCUGGCCUCGCAUGCACGAGGCCCUGGGUUCGAUUCCCCAGCACCA